RNAcentral lists this ribosomal RNA (538 nucleotides) under Alternaria sp. MP-3. RNAcentral describes it as "eukaryotic LSU rRNA". The stretch from base 161 to 314 matches the Rfam family "5.8S ribosomal RNA". The record is from RNAcentral. Lineage: Eukaryota; Fungi; Ascomycota; Dothideomycetes; Pleosporales; Pleosporaceae.
AUAUGAAGGCGGGCUGGAAUCUCUCGGGGUUACAGCCUUGCUGAAUUAUUCACCCUUGUCUUUUGCGUACUUCUUGUUUCCUUGGUGGGUUCGCCCACCACUAGGACAAACAUAAACCUUUUGUAAUUGCAAUCAGCGUCAGUAACAAAUUAAUAAUUACAACUUUCAACAACGGAUCUCUUGGUUCUGGCAUCGAUGAAGAACGCAGCGAAAUGCGAUAAGUAGUGUGAAUUGCAGAAUUCAGUGAAUCAUCGAAUCUUUGAACGCACAUUGCGCCCUUUGGUAUUCCAAAGGGCAUGCCUGUUCGAGCGUCAUUUGUACCCUCAAGCUUUGCUUGGUGUUGGGCGUCUUGUCUCUAGCUUUGCUGGAGACUCGCCUUAAAGUAAUUGGCAGCCGGCCUACUGGUUUCGGAGCGCAGCACAAGUCGCACUCUCUAUCAGCAAAGGUCUAGCAUCCAUUAAGCCUUUUUUCAACUUUUGACCUCGGAUCAGGUAGGGAUACCCGCUGAACUUAAGCAUAUCAAUAAAGCGGAGGAAAA